UUAUACAAAUUAUAAUGAUAAAGAAAGAAAUUAUAUAGCUAGAGGAAAAGUUAGACCUUUAGAACCUAAAAUAGAAUUUCAGACAUCACAUAAACCACAGAUAUUAAAUAUUACAGCACAUGACCCUCAAACUUGAAAUAAUAUAAUAGAAGUAUGGAAGAAUACAAUAUUAGGCCAUUAUAUUAGAUUAGCAGAUAAUAUGGAAUCAUUAGAAAUGUAUAGAUAUUUAGAAACAUUUUUAGGAGAAAGUGCUAAAACUACAUGGGAAGCUUUU
RNAcentral lists this long non-coding RNA (274 nucleotides) under Olea europaea (common olive). RNAcentral's name for it is "long non-coding RNA (OEUR_LNC006499)". Lineage: Eukaryota; Viridiplantae; Streptophyta; Magnoliopsida; Lamiales; Oleaceae. The record is from RNAcentral.